CAGAGAUCGGGAAUCCUCUCAGUCCUUAGUUACAAGGCUCCAUCCUCACUUUGUUCGCUCCUCAGUCGUCCAGGCGGAUUCCUUUUUCGCCAGGCACCAAGGCACAGCUUAGAGUAGACCCGAGUCCUGCUCUGCGGAGUUCGUCUUCCCAGCGAAGGUACAGAGGCGGAUGAACUGCUGAGACUUGGGUCUGGCUCUGUCACCCAGGCUGGAGUGCAGUGGCACGAUCUUGGCUCACAACUACCUCCGCCUCCCCAGGCUUAAGCAAUCCUCCCACCUCAGCCUCCCAAGUAGCUGAAACUACAGGUGUGCGCCAUCACCCCCAGUGAGAUGUCAGCUGUCUGCAAGCCAAGAAGACGGCCCCACCAGAACCUCACCAUGUUGGCACCCUGAUUUCAGACUUCCAGCCUCCAGAAUGGUG
This 421-nucleotide long non-coding RNA is filed under the name Homo sapiens (human). RNAcentral describes it as "HSALNT0292762". The record is from RNAcentral. Lineage: Eukaryota; Metazoa; Chordata; Mammalia; Primates; Hominidae.